This 406-nucleotide ribosomal RNA is filed under the name uncultured bacterium. Its description in RNAcentral is "partial 16S ribosomal RNA". It matches the Rfam family "Bacterial small subunit ribosomal RNA", at positions 30 to 526 of the family's 1533-position model. The record is from RNAcentral.
AUUGAACGCUGGCGGCAGGCCUAACACAUGCAAGUCGAACGAGUGGCGGACGGGUGAGUAAUGUCUGGGAAACUGCCUGAUGGAGGGGGAUAACUACUGGAAACGGUAGCUAAUACCGCAUACCAUCAGAUGUGCCCAGGUGGGAUUAGCUAGUGGGUGGGGUAACGGCUCACCAAGGCGACGAUCCCUAGCUGUUCUGAGAGGAUGACCGGCCACACUGGAACUGAGACACGGUCCAGACUCCUACGGGAGGCAGCAGGAGGGAAUAUUGCCCAAUGGGCGCAAGCCUGAUGCAGCAAUGCCGCGUGUGUGAAGAAGGCCUUCGGGUUGUAAACUACUUUCAGCGGGGAGGCGGUACCCGAAGAAAAAGCACCGGCUAACUCCGUGCCAGCAGCCGCGGUAAUAC